CUGUAGUUCCCCCGGUACACUGAGCUUUUCACCGAGCACGUAUCGGACAAGGGCACCCGGGACCCGGUCCUCUCCUUUCACAAAAAGGGAACUUUCUAUGGUUGACCUCGGAUCAGGUAGGAAUACGCGCUGAACUUAAGCAUAUCAAUAAGCGCAGGAAAAGAAACCAACAGGGAUUACCUCAGUAACGGCGAGUGAAGCGGUAAUAGCUCAAAUUUGAAAUCUGGCCUCUUGGGGUCCGAGUUGUAAUUUGUAGAGGAUGUUUUGGGUACCGCCCCGGUCUAAAUUUCUUGGAACAGAAUGUCAAAGAGGGUGAGAAUCCCGUCUUGGACCGGCGGUAGGGCCUGUGUAAAACUCCUUCGACGAGUCGAGUUGUUUGGGAAUGCAGCUCAAAAUGGGUGGUAAAUUUCAUCUAAAGCUAAAUAUUGGCCAGAGACCGAUAGCGCACAAGUAGAGUGAUCGAAAGAUGAAAAGCACUUUGAAAAGAGAGUUAAACAGUAUGUGAAAUUGUUGAAAGGGAAGCGCUUGCAACCAGACUUGAGCGCGGCGGUUCCCCCGGUCUUUUGGCCGGGCUACUCCGUCGUGUCCAGGCCAACAUCGGUUCUGAGGGUCGGUCAAAGGCCUUGGGAAUGUAUCUACCCACGGGUAGACUUAUAGACCAGGGUGUCAUGCGGCCCCUCGGGACCGAGGAACGCGCUUCGGCUCGGAUGUUGGCGUAAUG
This 721-nucleotide ribosomal RNA is filed under the name uncultured Tubeufiaceae. Its description in RNAcentral is "eukaryotic LSU rRNA". The stretch from base 103 to 721 matches the Rfam family "Eukaryotic large subunit ribosomal RNA", at positions 1 to 636 of the family's 3401-position model. The record is from RNAcentral. Lineage: Eukaryota; Fungi; Ascomycota; Dothideomycetes; Tubeufiales; Tubeufiaceae.